This 87-nucleotide transfer RNA is filed under the name Modestobacter marinus. Its description in RNAcentral is "tRNA-Val". Lineage: Bacteria; Bacillati; Actinomycetota; Actinomycetes; Geodermatophilales; Geodermatophilaceae. The record is from RNAcentral.
GCGUGCGGUCGGCGACGAUGGCGUGCGCCCCGUGCUUGACGUGCACGUCGGCGAAGACCCUCACCGGGUCGGCCCCGAUCGCGUGCC